AUGGUAUACAAAACAACAACUAAUCCAAACCUAGAAUUAACAUAAGCACAGACUGUGAUGUGAAAUCUUAUUCUUUUAUCUCCUUCUUCACAAACCUCUUAUUCCUUUAUCGCCUUCACAAAGCUCUUAAAGUUCUCAUAAGAUGUUCCUCCUUUUGCUAUGUUCUUCAUCACUUUCUCCUUCAACACCACACACCUACAUUUUAUGUUCUCAUCAUUAAAGAUCUGUUCCACUUUGGUUUUCAACUCUCCGCGUGACACAACUCCAUUUUCAUCUUUGUCAAUUCCCAACCCAACCUUUAACUCAUCACAAAUAUGUGUUUUGUUGUAAGGUUGGUCUCCCAAGUAUGGCCAACACAACAAAGGUACCCCAUUGGACAAACCUUCCAUGGUAGAAUUCCAACCACAAUGAGUGAGAAAACAUGCUAUGGCAGGGUGACUUAAAACCUUUUGUUGAGGAGCCCAAUUCACUAUCUUACCCUUAUGCCCUUGGAAUUCAUGAGGGUAUGCCAUUUUAUUGUCUUCUCUUAUAACCCAAAGAAAAGGUCUAUUGGUGAGGUCUAGUCCAAGGGCAAGUUCAUUGAAUUGGUUUUGGUCAAAAAGAGUGAUACUACCAAAGGCAACAUACAACACAGAACCAUCAGCUUGUUCAUCUAGCCAACUCAUGCAAGAGAGAUCUUCUUCCCAGAAUUGCCCCAAUGAUCUUAGAGUUACAUUAGUUUUGUAAUGAUGAUCACUUCUCAACAGCGGACCAAUUGGAAGGAGACUCGGAACAAGGGUUAAUACGUGAGGUUCAAGUUCAUGUGCAGUAUCACAAAGCCACCAUUGAGUCAAAUUUAAAGCUGGAAAACAGUGAUGCACCAAGUAAUUAAGGUAAUGAGAACCAUCCAUAAGUUCAGCCAUGUGAAACCAAAACAAGGUUCUUGUGUCCAUCUCUGGCAUACUUGGUGAUAAUUGAAUUGUCCCUUUUGAAGUUAAUAUGGAUCCUGCAAUGAAACAUGACAUAAUUGAGAAGUAAAAUAUGUUUUUAGAUGGGCAUGGUAUUUAUUAAAACAGGACCAAACAAAAGCAUAAGUUGCCAGACUUUAGAAACAAAAGUAUGAUAGUGUUCUUACCAUCUGAAUCUAUGAUCCCAUCAUCAACGAGCUUUGGAACACUGCUUACCAAAUGAAACAAAGUUGCUGCGGCAGGCCAAAAUAGAGCUCCUUUGAUUCCCAAUUCACAGGCAACAUUCAAUAUCCAUCCAACAUGUACAUCUGCAACAAUAAACCUGAUUCUGUUGUCACCUUUCAAAUGAAUAUUAUUAUUAUCCUCUAUGAGCUUUUUAAGUGCUUCUGGCACGGUGAUUAGCAUAGAAUCACAUAGCUUGCCCAAGUUGUUUCUGUCAUCAUUAGGUCCUAAGCCAUCUGGGAUUGAGACCAACUUCAGUGGCGAUUCUUCAUUGUAUUGAUCCACCAUUGAGCUCACCACUCUCUUGUGGUUGAAGUCUGUGUUCACAAAUAUGACUCUGCAUCCAUUCUCCACAAGCUUUUGUGAUAGGGUUAACAUGGGAUUCACAUGCCCUUGACAUGGAAAUGGGAAAACUAGCACAGUUGGAAUGCUCAUGCUGUGUUCUUGUGUUUGCACUUCACGGGUAUGGCUUUGUUUAUAUACUCUGAAAAUAUGACUACCAAUUGUUAUAGGCUCAUUGGAUCAAGGAUAAUUGGUAAAUAUUUGGAACCACAAAUUUAAGUUUUGUUUUUAUCUGAAUGUGAGUUGUGUAUGAUUUAGUUAUCUAUAAUGUUAAUAGAAAUGUUGAGAAUUAUGGUUAUUGUUUACUGUGUAGCCAAAUCAAUUUUUUCUUCUUCUUUAAUAUAAUAUGAUUAUACAAAAUUGAGUUUGGUAGUUGAAUUGGAUUGUGAAAGUGCUGGUACCAAAGAAUAAGAAAACUUUCCACCUAUUGAUGGAUCCAAUUGAUUGAUAAGGGAACCAGAUGCUCGUCCUUGGCCAACUAUGCCAGAAUUUGCCCUUUCAAAAGCAAUGGUGUUGUAACGACCACAUCCCAUUCAAAUUCCAGGGAAUUUUUGUUAUUCUGCAUGCAGUACAGAAUCCAAUUCUACAGUACGUUCACGAUAAUGGAAGUAAGUUAUUUCUACUCCAAUUUUCAUAACGAUCAUGAUGAAAGGGACAUGUGGAAGAUUUUUCAGCGAAGUGGAGGAUUAAAAGACGUUGUGAUUUAAAAAGAUUAAUCGUAAAAGGGCAGAGGUUUGGUUUUGUUAGAUUUCAGGAUGUUGUAGACGUUGCUAAUCUAGAAAAAAGGCUUAAUAUUAUCUGGAUUGGGACAUGGAAGAAUAAAUAAACCAAAAUAUAAGAUACUCGGCUCAAUUACAUAUCUAACACCAUUUACACUUUUAUUUCUUCAUCUAUCAUUCUUUUGUUUUUAUUUCCCUAUCUAGCACCAUUUCAAAAAUAAAUUAAAAAAAUAAUAAAUUAUUAUUUUUUGAUAAUUUUAAUUUUGAAUGCAUUAAAAAAUAAUUUUUUUAAUGUUUCAAAUAACUAGAAAUAUAAUUAAUGAAUAAAUAAAUGAGUUUUUACAAAAUAAAAAUAAAAAAAUAAUAAAUUAAAAAUGUUUAGUUUAAAAUUAUUAUUUUUUAAAAUGAACAAAAAUAAAAAAUUAAAACCAACAACAACAUAAAAGUUGAAUCCUAUAAACUAAAUUACUAUUUAUUUUUAUCAUCAUUGAUGAAGCAAAUAUUUAAAUUCAAGUAAAAAAAUCCAUCAAUAUAAUUAUAAAAAACUCUAAAGUUAAAUUAAUUUAAUUCACUACCGGUAACUUUAAAUAAUUAUUUUAAUNNNNNNNNNNNNNNNNNNNNNNNNNNNNNNNNNNNNNNNNNNNNNNNNNNNNNNNNNNNNNNNNNNNNNNNNNNNNNNNNNNNNNNNNNNNNNNNNNNNNUCAUUUACAGAUGAACAGAUUUAUUUUUCAAAACGAAAACAGAGAAAGUUUAACUAUUUAAAACUCAGUCGUUUUGAAAAGAAGAAGACUUAGUCAAAAUACCUGAUGCACAAAAUCUAAUUUUUACAAGACUUUAGCCAAGGCAUCAGUGAAGAAAAUGAAUCUGUUUAUUUAGAAAAGAACAGAUUUAUUUUUAUGCAGUAAACGUGUUUUUGUGUAAAACCUGUGAAAAACAGUUUAAGAAAACUUAUGCUUGUUCUUAACACAUGGCCAGUGGUUAUGAGGUGAGUUACUCAGCAAAAAGCUACUCUUAGACAACCUCUAAGCACUAACUAAGACAUACUUAAAGCAAAGCAAAAAUACAUGAAAGGUACAUAAAAGUCUUCAUCAAACACUACAUAUAUGUCUUCAUCAAACACAAUCUUGAAGGGGCAGCAACCAUCUUCAACAAGAACAAGAUGUCAUCAAGUACGUAAGGGUGCGUGUGAGGGUUCCAGUGGCCAGAGAAGCAUGCACGGUGAAGAAUGUGAGACUUAACGAAACAUUGUGUAAGCUAGUUAUAGAGGAGGAGACUUCCAUCACGAGUGUCUGUGUAUGCGGUCCUCAUUAUAAGUGGAGGGAGAUGCAUGGAAGGGAGUCAAAUGCUGAGUUGGAGGAGAAGUUUAGAGAGGAGUUCUUUGAGUCAGAAGGCUUCGACUACAAUGAUCAAAAUGAUGCGAGGGGGAAUGCCAACAAAGAGAAAUCAGUGAAAUUUCAGGCAAAGGGAGUUUCAGGUGCCGGGGGAGGCACAUGUAUAGGUAGCUCAAGUAGAGGUAGGGAAUCGAGGCAUGGAGGAGGUUACACUAAUUUGGAGGGGCACGUUGGCGGCAUGAGAAAAGAAGGUAUAUGCAGGACAUCCUUUGAGGUUGUGUCAAUGCAACAAGAGGUUAAUAAACCAAUAUGGGAUGCUACGGCUACGCGUGCUAAGGAGGUUAACCUAAUGGUUAUUGGGUCUCGAAAGGCCCGACGGAGUGAAGGGAGUAUGUUUAGUGUUUUCAUGGGUUUGGGCCCAAGGAAGGUGGAAGUUGAACAAUUAGGGGGUAUUGCAAGCACACAACCCACGAAAUGGCAGCUAGAACAACGUUUACGCUGGUGAGGGGAGGAACGGUGCGUUGCGAGUGAGUAAUAGAGGAAAACAGGUGAGGGGUAAGGAGAAGCUCCUAUUGUGGUUGGGCGCUUGCGGAGGAGAAGGUGUCAUCGUCACAAAGACAAAAGAGGGUGCUGAAACAUAUCAAUUGGUGCAGCGGAGCUAUGACAAAUUUUCCCCAACGGUGACGACGUUUAUAAGUGCCUUAUUUCAGUAAUAUUUUAUAUUAAAAUAUAGGCAUUUAUGAGUAUUAAUUUCUAAAUUACAUAUAAAAAAAAUUCCUAAUUUAUAAAUUUAUGCCUUUUUAUUUUUUAUGAUCUUUAUUUGAAUAAGAACAUUUUAUUCCCAUAUUUGGUGUCAAUUGCAGGUUUCUAGGGAAGAAUGGAGAUUUGGACUAAAGAAGAAUGAUAUAAGCUAAAAAGAGAAUGUUGGAAGGUCUAGAAAGCACAAAAAGAGGAAAAAGAAGUCCAAUUCAGUAGCAGAGUUCUCGCUCAAGCAAGUUAUAUCUCGCUUGAGCGAGAGAGCUCCAACAACGUUAUCAAAAUCGACGCCUUUCUCGCUCAAGCGAGAAUGCGUCACACAAAUUGGACCAUUUUUAUGUUUUAUCAAUAGACCCAUCAAUGCGACGCAGAAAUUCACCUAACCCUAGUAAAUUAGGUUAGAUAGGGGGCUAGAGGCUCAACCCUAGUGUGUUAGAUUGAGAGGAAAACACCUUUGAGUGAUUUGUAACCAAUUGGGAGAAUGGAAGGUGCUAGAAGUAUGCUUGGGUAAUUCUACCCUUUGGAAUUGGGAGUAAUCUGUUUGAACUCUUAUGUAUUGAGAUGAUGUUUAAAUAUGAUAUAAUAUUCUGUUCUUGAUUGAUUAUUGGUAUUGUUGUUUUGCUUCUAAAUAGUUGUGACAUGUUUGAGAAUCUUGAAUCCGACUGAGAGGUAUUUUUCAGGGUUCUGACCUAAACAACAAUACUUAAUAUAUUUGACUGUUAGAGAUAACUUGAAAUGUCAAUUGCUAUUAACGUCUGAGCGUGACUCGGAGUUGUUUUUAUAAGUAUGCGAGAGAUCGAUAUUUAGGAAACAUUCUUAAGAAUUUUAUAUGCGAGAGAUUGAUAUAAAUGAUUUUUCUACGGGCAUCAAUUUCAAUCAAAGAACUUAAUGUUAACAUGCUAAUCAAAAUACAUGAGAGGGAGAAAGAUGAAACCUAAUUCCUAUUUUUCCAAUUGAAGCAAUUACUCUUUGAUUUGUUUUCUUGUUAAUUCUUGCCAUUAUAACAAUUUUCAAACCAAAUUUUUAUUGUUUUGUUUUAUAUUUAUCGAAUAUUGUACUUGAUAAUUCAAUUGUUCCUUGUGCGAUCGAUAUCCAUCCUGAUAUCCAUCCUUAGGGACAAAUUAUUACUUUUGACAACGCGAUGUACUUGCCGUAAAAAGUCAUCAGGCAUUCCCGACUUCUCCACUGCAUUCAUUUGGAGAAGGCAGCGACCAAAUGGGACGGAUAAGGGUGGAAGUUUUAAGUCUUCGAGCUGCAAUGGAAGGGCGACCACGGAGGAGAAGGAAGACAACGACUUAAGGGGAUGUGCAGCUUUGGAGGAGGGGGGGUGAAUAGUUUAAAAGAGAUUUACGAAAUUUUUUGAAGAUUUAAUGGAAUUCUGUGAAGAAAUCCAGAAGAGGAAUCAAGUUAGCUAAGAACACAAACUGUUUUAAAGCAAAACACAGAAAAACAAUCGGUUGUUUAUACCAGUUAAAACUUAAACAACUUAAAAACAGAAUUUAAAGGAGUUCAGAGAAAGAGAAAUGCACACAAGCAGUUUAUACUGGUUCACUCUUACAACAAGAGCUACAUCCAGUUCCCAGAAACCACUAGGUAAUCCACUAAGCAAUUAAACCAGAUUACAAACACCACACACCAAAGUAGUGACCCUGAACCCCUCAAGAAACACAUUACCUUUGGCAAACCACACCAAGAGUAUUGAUCUUGAACACCUCAAGAACACACAACACUCCUUAGCAAUACAACAACAAAAAUACAAAAGAUUGAGAAAGGAUUACACCUGAUCAAAGUACAAUAUGAAAAGAAUACAAUUGCAAUCCUAUUUCACUCUCACUUGAAAAUCCAAAGCUUGAUGUGAAUCUUGAAAACUUGAGAUCAAAAGAUUGGUCAAAACAUUUAAUAUUAUCCAAAGAUUGGUCAAAACAUUUAAUAAAGGAAUGUAUUCAGUUAGAAAUCAUUUAAGACAGAUUCACCAUUCAAAACAGGAUCCUGUUAGGAUUUUCAAAGUUGAAACCACAAAACAGCCGAUUGAUUUGGUUUGACAGUUAAGUCAACCAAGUCAAACAACUUUCAGCCUUUUUCAAAACAUCUAAGAACAAAACAACCGGUUGAUUCGACAAAACAACAAGUUGUUUUUCACUUAGUUGAAAAAACAUUUAAUUUCAAAAAGGUUUUAAUUCACAUCAGUUUUAGAUUCAACAAAAGAGUGGAUCGCACUUUAAUCUACCCAGAUCCCACCCACACAUAACAACAACACUAGCCUUUCAUCAAACACCUUGGAUUUGGAUUCUUCAAAGCUCUUGAUCACUCUUGAUCAAUACAGGGGAGAUGUAAACGUGAAGUUCGACGAAAUUCGAAUUGAAGCCAAGGGAGAUGGAGAUUUUUCAAAAAGAGAAGCGGAAGCGAGAAUAUUGUCGGGGGCCACACCGAAAAACUUUUCGGUGCAGAAUCAAUGGGAAAUAAGGUUAGAUUCUCAGAGCUCGAUCAAUUGCUCUACUCAUAGUGCACUUAGGAAUUGUAAUAGGUUGUUUUGAAUGAAAACGAGUACUCAAAAGCUGAUAGAAUUUGGAAUGUUGGUAAUGAGGUGGGGUUUUCCUUUCUCGGAGAGGGUGAUGUUGUUAUUGGUCAGCUAAAAGUCAUGGAGGUUAGAGACAAAUCUGCAGGUAGGAGGGAGGAAAUAAGCAGGGUGGAGAAUAGUCUGUCUAAUGAGUAAGCUAAUUAGUAUGAAUAUAAGAGGAGUGAGAGGAAAUAUUAAAAGGAAAUAUCUACGUGAGUUGAUUAAGAAAGAACAAGUAUGUUGACAGGAGGCAAAAUGUAAGGAGUGGGGGCAAGAAGAGAUUUUUAAAAUGUGGGGUACUAAUGAAGUGGAUUGGGUUGAAAAUGGAGUUGAAAACAAUGCAGAAGGGUUGAUCACGAUGUGGAGGAAAUGUUGCUUUCUUCUUAGUAAUUUUAUCAACGGGAAGAAUUAUAGUAUAAUAGAAAGGGAGUGGAGAAUUGAAGAGCCGAUACAGAUCACUAUUGUUGACGUGUAUAAUUUCGAUUCCUUGGAAGAAAAAAGAUCAGUAUGGGAGAAUGUCAGAGAGAGCAGAACGGUGCAGGGAUCAAAGACUUGGUGCGUGGUUGAAACAAACUUCAAAUUAUAAUUUUUAUUUAAUAAUAAAUUUUUUAUAAAUAAAAAAUAAAUUUUGUUAAGAAUUCAAUUGGAUCCCAUAUUUUUUUUUUUAGUUUUCUUUUCAACUAUUUUUUUGUGUGGAUUCUUCUUAUCAUUUGUAGAGUAGCUAGUUACAUGAGCAACAACUAUUUUUGAACUAUUCCAUGUCCUUAAGGAGAAUCAUCAUUCAUUUGAUCUUGAAUUGCAACAAUUUCAGAAUGUAUAUAAUUGAACAUUUCUGGUUCCUUGUACUUUUCAGACUCAAUUAAUAUGGACCACGUGAAAAAUACCCCAUCAACUAAAUGCACUUAAGUCUUUUGUCUCUUGCACCCCCAUUGUCAGAACCACGUGGCCCAUCACAAGUUUUCACAGUGUCCUUUUAGAAUUUUUCAAUCUUUUCUCAGUUUGCUUUCUUUAUUUGUAUAUGUAUUAUUUGUGUACUUAUUGAAAACUUUAUUGUAUCUAGAUUAUAGAUUUUUUUUUUACUUUAAAGUGAUUCAUAGAUUUUACUAAUAUUAGAUAAUUUUUUACAUUAAAAAUUCGUACAUUUUUAUGAUUUUUUUAGUUUGUUAUUUCUUUUAUCAAAUUAUUUUAAUAUAAAAGUGUCGGUUCAAAUAAUUGGAAACUUAAGUGUUUAUACACUUUAUUCAAAUUGGACCAAUUCAAUGGGAUGUAAACUAAUUGGGUACUGGAAGGAUAUAUAAGAAAGUUAAAUGAACUAUUAUGAAAGACUAUUUAUAUUAAUUUUACCUUUAAAAGUUUACAUUAUGUUGAUUAAAAUAACUAAUAAGUAGAGAUAAAAUAAAUAACUUUAACUAAGGUUCACUAUAAGAAAAUCAUGAUCAUAGAAACUAAAAUAAUUAGUUGUAAUAAUAAUUAAAUUAGAGAUCAUUUUAAAAAUUAAAAAGAAAUUAGUUUUUAUUAUUGUUAAAUAGUUUAUAAAUUUGUAUCUAAUUUGCAAUUAAGGUUUUUGCUACUGAAAUUAGAAACUAAUUUAAAAACUAUUUUUUUAGUUUUUAAAAUGGUUUUCAAUUUAGUUAUUAUUGUAAUUAAUUAUUUUGGUCUUUAAAAAUUGAUUUCUAUUUUAUGAUUUUCUUGUAAGUGUCUAAACUCGAAUUUUUAUUUCAAAGAUGUUAACUUAACAUUUCAAAUCUUUCAAUUUAAUUUAAAAUAAGUUGUUAGAUGUAAACUAUGUAACAUAAAUACAGAUACGGACACUGACACGAUACGGAUAUGGAUACGGACAAAGAGAUACGUAUAAUCUGUAAAAUGUAGGACACGGGGACACGGAUCUAUAUAUUAUAUAAUUUUAAUUAUAUAAAUUGAAAAUAAAUAUUUAUGUGCAAAAGUAUGUUUCAGACUCUUUUGGGAGUAGGAAGAUAUUUUUCAUGACUGGUUCAAAAGAAUUUGUUCCUUAUUUUUAUAAUCAUAAUAAAAAUUUAUACAAUAAAUUUGAAUUUUUAGAAAAUUAUUGUAUUUAUACCUUUUAAAAUUGUGUUAGAACCGUGCUAGAAUUUUAAAAAAUUCAACAAAUUUUUUUGAAUUGAACACUUCACCAAUAAGUGUCCUAGGAGUGUUGACACCGAUACGUGUAUCCGACACGGAUACGCCUAUUUAAGAGAAGUGUCCGAGCUUCAUCCUAACUAUCAUAAAAAUGUAAGAAGAGCAUUCAUUUGGGUUUAGAUGGUAAUAUAUAUAUAUAUAUAUAUAUAUAUNNNNNNNNNNNNNNNNNNNNNNNNNNNNNNNNNNNNNNNNNNNNNNNNNNNNNNNNNNNNNNNNNNNNNNNNNNNNNNNNNNNNNNNNNNNNNNNNNNNNNNNNNNNNNNNNNNNNNNNNNNNNNNNNNNNNNNNNNNNNNNNNNNNNNNNNNNNNNNNNNNNNNNNNNNNNNNNNNNNNNNNNNNNNNNNNNNNNNNNNNNNNNNNNNNNNNNNNNNNNNNNNNNNNNNNNNNNNNNNNNNNNNNNNNNNNNNNNNNNNNNNNNNNNNNNNNNNNNNNNNNNNNNNNNNNNNNNNNNNNNNNNNNNNNNNNNNNNNNNNNNNNNNNNNNNNNNNNNNNNNNNNNNNNNNNUAUAAUAUAUACAUAUAUAUAUAUAUACAUAUAUAUAUAUAUGUAUAUAUAUAUAUACAUAUAUAUAUAUAUACAUAUAUAUAUACAUGUAUAUAUACAUACAUGUAUAUAUAUGCCUUUUUUUUUAUGUUUAUUGGAUCUGAAAAAAAAUCUAAUAAGUCAAUACAUAAGUAUAAAAUGAAUAUCAAAUUAAUUUUUUCGUCACUUAUCAUUAAAUCUUUAUACGUGUGAGUUAGUUUGAAGUGGAUCAUUUUAAACAUAAAUACAACUGAACACAGUCAUAAAUAAAACUUCAACUCAACCUAUUGAAUUAAAUUAAAUUUUGCAAAGCUUGUGUUAUUUUUAAUUAGGUUGUAUUAUUUUUUUUAAUUAGAUUAAUAUUUAAAAAUUAUAAUUUUUAACGAAAAAAAAAAUCAAAAUUUUGAUCCAAUCUUAAUCCAACCAUCUAAAAAAUGAAUUGGAUUAAUUUGUUUAAUAUGCAAAAUUUAAAAACAAACUUAACCAACCUUAUUUAUUUUUAAUUGGUUGAAUAAUAGAAUUUUCUAGAUAUACCCAAUAGGAAGCCAUUUAAAAAUUAUAAAAAAAUAAUUUUUUUUUAUCAACAAAGAAUUAAUUGAAUUAAAAUAGAUCACUUUAGAGAUGUCUCGACCCUUAAACAAAAUCCUCCAUUCUUUCCACCUCUUACUCUAAUUAAAACUAGUAGUAACCAUUACAUCAAAGUGUUACAUCUCUCGUUAUGCUUUAUAUCAACCCCACAAAUAUGACCAUUCAAAACACUGACAAAGGUUCAUAGUUGUUCCCCUUCCAAUGGCUACCCAGUAGAGUGGGAGAUGUGGAUACAACUUCAGAGUGAUUAAUCCAGCCAAGUCCCUGCACGUUCCCAGCUCAUGAUCCAAAAAACUAAGAUUUACUCCUUCAUUUUUUUGAUCAGCAACGAAUUAAUAAAAUUUAAAAGAGACACUUUAGGAGUGUCCCAACCUGUAUACAAAAGACCUUAAUGUCUAGACUGUACGCAUAAGCUAAAAAGGUUCUGCUGGACAUAAAAGAGCCAACCUAAAAACUUAUGGAUUACCCAUUUACCCCAAUAGACAAAAAAACAACACAAAAGACCCUCACUCACCACCUAAGACAGAAAACAAACUUAACCCCUAAAGAAGUCCACGAAUACCUCCAUAGCACACCAUAUCAGCACUCUACAAAACCACCAGCUCCCUCCACGCCAGAAAAAGAUAUGCUAAGUUGACGGUGUUGAGUAGCACCUGUUCUCCACCGCAGGCUCGAUACUCAACAGUCCCCUGUAACUACCACACACCAACCACGCAGCUGCUCAUCUAGAACCAGUGGAUACGGAUAGGGAACCUGCUUAACUUCUUGUGCUUUGAAUAAGACACCUGAAGCUCCAAUCUGAUAUGAAGUCUUCAAACUUGCAGGCAUUACCAGAGUACCUUAAGCAACUUACAACUCGAGACGCUCACAACCGAUGCCCUCUACAUUCACCUCGCCACGCAACGAGUUACCCAUGCACAUUGCCUUCGACGACCACCGACUACGUCCAUAAAGAGCACGCCACUUCCUCGACCGGCGAUUAUCUUUGCAUAACUUCGACGACCACCGACCGAUGAUCAUGUUAGCCUUUGCAUCACUUCGACAUCCACCGCCUACGCACGCAUUGAGAUCGCCGUUUCAUCGAGCGGUGAUUCUGUUAACCUUGUAUAACUUUGGCGACCACCGACUACAUACAUAUGGAGCACGCCGUUUCAAGUAGCUACGGCGACCACCGACUACACACAUAUGGAGAACGCCGCUUCCUCGAUCGGUGAUCAUAUUGACUAUCGCCGUUUUUAUUACCGGCGAUCAUGUUGAGCGUUGCAUCACAUCGGCGACCACCGACUACACAGAAAUGGAGAGCGCCGCUUCAUCAAUCGACGAUCAUGUUGAUAUCGCCGUUUCAAUUACCGGCGAUCAUGUUGAGCUUUGCAUAACUUCGACGACCACCGACUACACACAAAUGGAUCAUGCUGCUUCACCGAUUGACAAUCAUGUUAACCUAUGUACAGCACCACUUCACCGACCGGCGAUCAUGUUGACUUGCAUACCUUCAACGAUCACCGACUGUAGUACCAUCCUCUCCAGAUUUGCUACUUCAGAGACCUACUGUACCCAUUUCACUUCCUUUCUCCAACCAUAGUGGCUAUUACCCAGUCCUUACCCUCCUUCUUUCCAGCAGCACCACCAUUAGCCCGUCUAGCCUGCUAUAUGCCUCCCCUUGUUAUUUGAUACUGCAAAUGCAUGUCAGCGGGUUCAUAACCCAUUCUGCAUAGGAGUAACAAAAAAUAUUUUCCUUGUGUUUCAACCAUAACCACGAUUUAAGUUGGGCAUUGUGGAAAACUUCUUCUACAUCUACAACUCUUUGGUUGAAGACAAUGGAGUUUCUAUGUUCCUAUAGACAUCAGACUACAGCUGCCCACACACCUUUCCAUACCAGGUUUUGUUUAUAGGAGUGUUGGGGGAGGGAAAAACCUUCAAAAUUGGUCCUAAGAUUAUUGUGUUGGACAGACCAUAUACCAACCCAUCUAAAGCAUAAGUCCCACACCCGUACUGCAUACUUGCAUUCUAUAAAGAGGUGCUGACACGUUUCCUCCUUGGUCUGGCAAAGGGCACAUUCUGUGGUGUUCACCAUCACCCCUCUCUUGCUCAAACACUCCCUUGUUGGUAGUCUACCCAACAACACUCUCCACGCAGUGAUCAGCACAUUAGGAAACGCCUUUGUCUUCCAAAGAUAGCCAAACGGCGAUAUUUGUGUUCCUCCGUCGGGCUCUUCAAGGCAUUUAUAUGCAGACUUCACUGUAAAGUUCCCUGAUUCGUCCCUCCUCCAUACUUGCUUAUCCUGUUCAUCCUUUUUCAUAGUGACCCUGGAAAUGAGCAUACCAAGCUCGGUUUCGAGGGGGACCUCCCACUCAAAUCUGUUGCGUCUCCACCUUAGCUUCCACUGCCACACUGACUCCUCCCACAUCCCAACCUCUCCCACCGUCUGGCCCUGAUAUAGUGACAAAGAGAAUAGUCUAGGAAACAGAGCCUUAAGGCUGGCAUUCCCAGUCCAUAUAUCCUCCCAGAAUCUUGCUUGAUCUCCUUUCCCUACUUUUCAGCUAACCUCUUUUUUAAACCAACCCUCUCCCCCUCCCUGCCGGCAUACCUUUACUAAAUCUCUCCACCACCAAGAUUGAUGUUUCAGUGGGGUAUGGUUUCCAUCUUGUUCCGUACCAUACUUUGACUCCAAGCACUCUUUCCAUUUUCCUUUCUCGUUCGAUAUACAUCUCCACUUCCACUUAGCUAAAAGUGCUAUAUUAAACUUCCGGAUGUCACGAAUGCCUAAACCUCCUUCCUCCCGCGGUUUACUCCUUCAUAUCCUUAACCAAACCUAAUUUGCAGUAUCCGACAGAUCAAGAAUAUCACACUAGAAUAACUGCAACGUUCUUAGCACAUUGGCUCCCUUCUAGUUCAUUGGGUUCAAAUGGGCGCAACCAGAGGAUCUUAAUCUUCAUCACCAACAAAAGAAUAUGCCAGCAGCACCUAAAGGCAUAUAGCAUAACGCAUAUAAAAACCAGAGUAACAACAUUAUGACACACCCUUCAGAGGAACAUGCGCCUUACUUAACCAAGUUGAAACCAUUCUCACAAAGAUCCUACCCUACCCAAUUACUUGCAACUUUUGAUGCAUAGAACAUGAUUUAAAUGUCAGUCAGAAAACGAAAAAUUAAAGGCAUUGAGCAUGUAUUUCAACUAUAGCAACGAUCUAAGUUGAGCCAUUUGGAAAACUUCUUCUGCAUCACGUACACCUUGCUUAAAAAUGACCAUGUUCCUUUGAUCCUAGAUACCUCUUACUAUUGCCGCUCAUAUACCCUUCCACACUAAGUUUUGCUUGGAAUUCAAAUACACCAGAUGAAAGCUUUCAAAAUGAACCUUCAAAUCCUUAUGUUGAACGUUCAGAGUACCUAUCCACUUGUAGCAAAGAGACCAAAUGAUAUGAAUCCAAAUAGAAAUGACAGUAAAAUUGGGAAUUUAGGGUUACGGAACGGAAUAAAUUCAAAACAAUAACAAUAGAAACCUAGAUAAAGGAAGGCGCCACAAACAAAGUUUGAUAAGCCUAAGGAUGAUCACCACAAGAAUUGGUGGAUUCUUGAUAAGAUCGCAAGAUGCAGGAAAAAACCCUAGCAGAGAAACACUCUCUAAAAUUGUCAAAAUAUUCGUCCCCCUAUGUUGAGUUCCAACAAUGUAUAAAUUACAAAUUUAGCUAGAGGUCUUUUCUUGUUUGUAAGAAAAUAAGACGAUACUACAAUCCUUAUAUUUCAAGAAUGAUCAUUUGUCCCAGUGGUUAGGUUGAUACUAUGUACUUGGUCCUGAGUUCAAAUCCUAACUCCCAAUCUUGUUGUGCGUGUAAUCAAGAUCAAUCUUGUAGGUAUUGUCAUUAAUCAUUUCUAACACUUGAAAAGGUCCCGUCUAGGUUGGAGCUUGGAUUUUCUUUGUCUAGAUUACUUUCUUUCUUCCUUUGUUAACUUGUUUAGAAUAACCUUCAUCUUUUUCUUCAACUUGUGCUUCAACCUUUUUAUGCUGCUUUCUCACAUAGUCAACCUUAGCUUGUGUAUCUUUAUGCUUUAAAACAAAAAUGUUAGGCAUAGUUAACAAAUCUAUUGGAGUUAAAGGAUUUAAUCCAUACAAAAUUUCAAAUGGAUCACAAUUCGAUGUGCUGUCAACAACCAUAUUGUAAGCAAACUCAAUAUGAUGUAAACAUAAUUCUUGGAUAGCCGUCACCUUUUCAUAAUCUACAUGAACUCCUUUGGCACUUACCACAAAACACAAGAAUGCAAUUUGUUCAGUACAAAAUGUGCAUUUCUCAAGAUUAGCAUACAACUUUUCUGUUCUAAGAACAUUUAAAACAGCACACAAAUGUUCCUCAUGUAAUUCCAAACUAGUUCUAUAGAUCAAGAUAUCAUCAAAAUACACUACAAAAAAUUAGCCCAAAAAUUCUCUCAAAACAUAGUUCAUUNNNNNNNNNNNNNNNNNNNNNNNNNNNNNNNNNNNNNNNNNNNNNNNNNNNNNNNNNNNNNNNNNNNNNNNNNNNNNNNNNNNNNNNNNNNNNNNNNNNNGACAGUUUUCCAUUUAUUCCCAUUCCUAAUCCUAAUUGAUGGGUAACCACUUCUUAAGUCAAUUUUUGAAAAUAUACAACCACCAUACAAUUCAUCCAUUAAAUUAUCUAACUUGGGAAUAUGGUGUUUAUACUUAAUGGUAAUGUUAUUGAGUGCUCUGCAAUUUGUGCACAUCCUCCAAUAACCAUCAUUUUUAGGCACCAAAAUUACUGGAACAGCACAUGGGCUCAUGGUCUCUUGUACCCAUCCUUUGUUCAUCAAUUCUUCAACUUGAGUUUGGAUUUCCUGCAAAACAGAAUCAACACUAGGAAGCAAAUUAAUUUGGUUAGAAUGGUCAGCAACCAAAGUGCUGUUUUUGCAAUAAGGUAAAUAAAGAGGUUUGCUAGAAAGUAGCAACUUCUUCACUUUAUUCACUUUCAGUAAUCCACUCAUUUUUCUCUCAUGUGUUUCUUUCUUUUUAAGUGUUUCACUCUUGCUCUGUUUAGGUGUUUCACUCAUCUCUCUUUUCUCUUGGACUCUCUUUUCUCUCAAUUUGAUUUGAUCCUUACACACCUCUCUAGGAGAUAAGGGUUUGAGAAUGAUCUUCUUAUUAUUCUGCAUGAAAGAGAUUUUAUUGGUGAAACCAUCAUGAAUAGCCUUGGUGUCAAACUGCCACGGCCUCCGUAACAAAAUGUGAUUUGCCUCCAUUGGAACCACAUCACACAAGAGAUUGUCAUUAUAUUGUCCUAUGAAUAUGUGCACUUCCACUUGCUUACUCACUGUCAUCUCUCCAUCUUCACUAAGCCAUUGAAGCUUGUAUGGCAUUGGGUGCGGUUUUGUCUCCAAAUUCACUUUGGUAACUAGUCUUGAACUUGCUACAUUGGUGCAACUUCCUCCAUCAACUAUGAGUGAACAUAUUUUCCCUUGAAUGGAACAUCUAGUAUGGAAAAUAUUUUCCCUUUGGGUUUGGUCCAAAGCUUGCAUUUUGCUUCCUAAAAGCCUUCGAAUCAUCAACAAAUCACCCUCCAAUGUAUCCAACUCCACCUCUACCUCAUCCUUCUCUUCUUCACUUAAAGGUUCAUUGACUAUUUGUGUCUUUGAUAAACUGAUCAUAUUCUCUUUUUGUUGGACAUUCUGAAGCAUAAUGUCCUCUUCCCAAGCAUUUGAAACAUUUUACCUCACUUGUUUUCCUUUUAGGUGGUGAAUUACUAUAUCUAUGAGGUGACUUCCCACUUGAAGAUGUGACUAAACUUGAGGGAACUCCUUUAUCCUUCAUCGCCUUAUCCUUCCAAUUGAAAUUUUUAUUAUUUUUAGAACUCCUCAUGAUUCCCUUCCUCUUGAGUUGUUGUUCUACUUGGUUAGUCUUGUGCAACAACUCUUUCAUGUCAACAUACUCUUGCAGGUCCACAACAUCCUUAAUAUCAUGAUUGCUUCGUUUUCUUCAUUUUUUCCAGCUCUAAUCAUGGUCACCUCCAUCUCUUUAAAAUACUCUUCCACACUUCUAUUCCCUUGAGUCAUUCUUUGAAGUUUGAGUUGCAAAUCCCUAUUGUAGCUUGCUGGAAUAUAUCUCUUCCUCAUAAUCCUUUUCAUUUCUGUCCAAGUGUUCACCAUGGGUUCCUCAUAUUUAAUUCUCUCCAUUUGGUAUUUAUUCCACCAAGUUAAGGCAUAAUGUGAAAAUUCAGCUGUUGCCAACUUCAUCUUUUGCUCAUCAUUAUACUCACUGCAAGCAAACACAUGCUCUACUUUAAUUUCCCACUCCAAGUAAGCAUCAGGAUCACUUUUUCCAUUGGAUGUAGGAAUAUUUAAUUUUAUUCCAUCAAUUCUCAGAGUUCUUUGUUCUCCCUCAUUUUCUCUUCUCCUCCUCCUAUCUCCCCCUCUAUUUUCUGGAUUUACUUGUUGUGCUUGCUCCAUUUGAUCCAACCUCUCAUGGAGUCCAUCACUUUGUUGUUUCAUUAUCCUUUCCAAGUGUUGUGUUAAGGCUUGCAUCUGUACUUGAGAAAGUCCACUAUCUAACGAUUCCCCUGCCAUGCUCAAGUAAACAGAUUACAAAUAACAAUAAGUUUGGGCCUCACACCACUUUCUCACGUGUUUACACUCAACACUCGUGUUUUACACAAUAAGGUUUUUUUAAUGAUCACACUGCCUUUUACCACUCUUUCUCUACUUAAGGUUCUUACAAGAAUCAAGAAAUCAAUAAUCCAUAAUCACUUUCACUAUAGCAAUCAGAAUCAAUUAAAAAUAAUAGUAAAGAACAAAAUAGUGAAGAACAAUUUCACUAUCAACAAACAAGCAAAACAAUUAAAAAAAAUAGCAAGCAAAACAAUAUAUAGAGAAAAUAAAAUAUGUAGACAUGACACUUUUAGAACUUUUAUCAAACACCAAGUAUGCACUGAAUAAAAGCUAUUUUUUUUUCUGUUUUCCUCUUGUUCUUUUUUUUUCUAUUUCUGUUUUCCUCUUGUUCUUUUUUUUUUCUAUUUCUGUUUUCCUCUUCUUCUUCCUUUUUUUUUCUUUUUUUCUAUUUCUUUUUUUUUUUCUGUUUCUUCUUUCGUUUAAAAAAAAAAUGAACAGUACCUGUGAACAGUAACCGUGAACAGUGCCCCUGUGAAAAGUACCAGUGAACAGUACAAUGUGAAUAGUACAAUGUGAACAGUAAUGAGGAGAAAAAAAAACAGGCACAAUUAUAUUAUGACUCAAACCUUUGCUUUGAGUACCAACUGAUAUGAAUCCAAAUAGAAAUGACAGUAAAAUUGGGAAUUUAGGGUUACGGAACGGAAUAAAUUAAAAACAAUAACAAUAGAAACCUGGAUAAAGGAAGACGCCACAAACAAAGUUUGAUCAGCCUAAGGAUGAUCACUACAAGAAUUGGUGGAUUCUUGAUAAGAUCGCAAGAUGCAGGAAAAUAUCUAGCAGAGAAACACUCUCUAAAUUGUCAAAAUAUUUGUCCCCCUAUUCUGAGUUCCAACAGUGUAUAAAUUACAAAUUUAGCUAGAGGUCUUUUCUUGUUUGUAAGAAAAUAAGAUGAUACUACAAUCCUUAUAUUUGAAGAAUGAUUAUUUGUCCCAGUGGUUAGAUUGAUACUCCAGUUGGAUGUACGCAUCACCAAACCCGAGGCCUCACUAACACUCUCAUAAUUAACACUCUCAUAAUUGAUCACCUUAAGUUUGUUUCUUCUUGUUAUGGUCUUGAAAAGAGAUUAUAGUAACUUGGAUUCGAUCUUUUCUUUCAUCAAACAUAUAGUAAUAAUGGAUUUUUUAUUCUUUAUAUUUCUUUUUGUUAACAAACUAGAUACAUUUUUUUUUUCAUAAGCAAAAUAAUUUAGUAGUAAAAGAAAGCUAAACUUGAGCAUAACAUGUACGGUAAAGAAUUGAAAUGACUCCAUUAAUCAUUGAGGAUCAUAAACAAAAACGAUCAUGGUAUACAAAAUAACAACUAAUCCAAACCUAGAAAUAACAUAAGCACAAACUCUGAACUCUUAUUCUUUUAUCUCCUUCACAAACCUCUGAAGGUUCUCAUAAGAUGUACCUCCUUUUGCUAUGUUCUUCAUCACUUUCUCCUUCAACACCACACACCUACAUUUUAUGCUCUCAUCAUUAAAUAAUUGUUCCACCUUGGUUUUCAGCUCCCCGCGUGACACAACUCCAUUUUGAUCUUUGUCAAUUCCCAACCCAACCUUUAACUCAUCACAAAUAUGUGUUUUGUUGUAAGGUUGGUCUCCAAAGUAUGGCCAACACAACAAA
This 18393-nucleotide long non-coding RNA is filed under the name Phaseolus vulgaris (common bean). RNAcentral describes it as "long non-coding RNA (PVUL_LNC003299)". Lineage: Eukaryota; Viridiplantae; Streptophyta; Magnoliopsida; Fabales; Fabaceae. The record is from RNAcentral.